RNAcentral lists this non-coding RNA (24 nucleotides) under Arabidopsis thaliana (thale cress). Lineage: Eukaryota; Viridiplantae; Streptophyta; Magnoliopsida; Brassicales; Brassicaceae. The record is from RNAcentral.
AGAUUAGUACAUAUUGAAUGGUAU